This 253-nucleotide ribosomal RNA is filed under the name uncultured bacterium. RNAcentral describes it as "partial 16S ribosomal RNA". It matches the Rfam family "Bacterial small subunit ribosomal RNA", at positions 524 to 776 of the family's 1533-position model. The record is from RNAcentral.
UACGUAGGUGACGAGCGUUAUCCGGCUUUACUGGGCGUAAAGCGCUUGCAGGCGGUUGAACAAGUCCGACGUGAAAUCUCUCGGCUUAACCGGGAGGGGUCGUUGGAGACUGAUCGACUUGAGGCGAUGAGAGGGAUGCGGAAUUCUCGGUGUAGUGGUGGAAUGCGUAGAUAUCGAGAAGAGCACCAGUGGCGAAAGCGGCAUCCUGGCAUUGUCCUGACGCUCAUGAGCGAAAGCGUGGGGAGCGAACGGG